CGGGGUAGAGUAACGCGUGGGCAACCUGCCUUAUACAGGGGGAUAACAGCUGGAAACAGCUGCUAAUACCGCAUAAGCGCACAGCGGCGCAUGACGCAGUGUGAAAAACUGAGGUGGUAUAAGAUGGGCCCGCGUCUGAUUAGCUGGUUGGGAGGGUAACGGCCUACCAAGGCGACGAUCAGUAGCCGGCCUGAGAGGGCGGACGGCCACAUUGGGACUGAGACACGGCCCAGACUCCUACGGAAGGCAGCAG
Molecule: ribosomal RNA, 253 nt
Filed under: uncultured bacterium
Lineage: Bacteria
Description: partial 16S ribosomal RNA
Rfam family: Bacterial small subunit ribosomal RNA
Source: RNAcentral